UGAAAUUCAACUUAGUCUGAUAAUUUAAAUAAUUAUUUUUUGUGUUAGUUUUUUUUUAUUUUUAAAAUAAAAAUAUUAAUUUUUAUUAAUUGGCUUAGAACAAAUAGAUUUUAUUAUAGUUUAUUAUUGUACUGUAGAGGGAUUUUCUAAAAUUUGAAUAAGAAAAAUUAAUUUUUUGUACCUUGUGUAUCAGGGUUGAUUAAAUGUUUAGUAAAAAUUUAUUUAUCUCGAAUUUAGAAGAGCUAUUUUUUUAUUUAUUUUAUUGUUGAAUAAAUAUUUUAAAUAUUAAAAUUGUAAUGAAAUGUUAUUCGUUUCUAAAUAUAUCUAGUUUUCUAAGAAAAAAAUUUAAUUUUUUUAUUAAUAAAACCUUUAUAUUCUAAUUUGUGUUUAGUUUUUGUUAAUAAUUUAUAUCUAUAGGGAUUAGCUUUUAGAUAAAUUUUUAAAAGAGAAAUUAUUUUUCUAAUUAAUUAGAAUUAGAAGUUUUUAUUUUUAGAAGGAUGUUAUAUUUUAUUUAGGUAGAAAUUUUAUUUUAUUUUUCUUUAAUUUUUUUAUUAGAAUGUAGUUAACAAUUUUGUUUGACUAGAAAUAAUGAUUAAAUUAGUAUAUUAGUUUGUUUUGUUAUUAAGAUUUGCUAGGUUUUUAAAAGGAAUUCGGCAAAAGAUUCUUCACCUGUUUAUUAAAAACAUGGCCUAUUGAUUAUAAUUUUAGGUCUAACCUGCCCGCUGAGUAUUUAAAUGGCCGCGGUACUUUGACCGUGCAAAGGUAGCAUAAUAAUUAGUUUUUUAAUUGAAAGCUGGAAUGAAUGGUUGAAUGAGGGAAUAACUGUCUCUUAAAAAUUUUUUAGAACUUUAUUUUUAAGUAAGAAAGCUUAAAUUUAAUUAAAAGACGAGAAGACCCUAUAGAGUUUUAUAUUUUUUUAUUUUUGUUGUGUUUAGAAUUAAUUAUAAUAAAAAUAAAAAUUUAUUUGGUUGGGGCGAUCGAAAAAUUUAAUUAACUUUUUUUUAAUUUUUACACUAAUUAGUGAGUUUUUGAUCCAAUAAUUUUGAUUAUAAGAUUAAAUUACCUUAGGGAUAACAGCGUAAUCCUUUUUGAGAGUUCAAAUUGAAAAAGGGGUUUGCGACCUCGAUGUUGGAUUAAAAUUAAUUUUUGGUGCAGAAGCUAAAAUAUUAGGUCUGUUCGACCUUUAAAAUUUUACAUGAUCUGAGUUUAAACCGGCGUGAGCCAGGUUGGUUUCUAUCUUUAAUAAAAGGAAAUAUUUUAGUACGAGAGGACCAAAUAUUUGAUAAAUUAUUUUGUUUGUGGAUUUUGUUGUUGU
Molecule: ribosomal RNA, 1315 nt
Filed under: Coleoptera sp. 16 KM-2017
Lineage: Eukaryota; Metazoa; Arthropoda; Insecta; Coleoptera
Description: 16S ribosomal RNA
Rfam family: Bacterial large subunit ribosomal RNA (bases 1070-1228)
Source: RNAcentral